UCAAAUCAGGCGGGACUA
This 18-nucleotide ribosomal RNA is filed under the name Gloeocystidiellum bisporum. RNAcentral describes it as "partial 28S ribosomal RNA". Lineage: Eukaryota; Fungi; Basidiomycota; Agaricomycetes; Russulales; Gloeocystidiellaceae. The record is from RNAcentral.